RNAcentral lists this ribosomal RNA (402 nucleotides) under uncultured bacterium. RNAcentral describes it as "bacterial SSU rRNA". It matches the Rfam family "Bacterial small subunit ribosomal RNA", at positions 354 to 773 of the family's 1533-position model. The record is from RNAcentral.
GUGGGGAAUAUUGGACAAUGGGCGAAAGCCUGAUCCAGCCAUGCCGCGUGAGUGAUGAAGGCCCUAGGGUUGUAAAGCUCUCUCGGCGGGGACGAUAAUGACGGUACCCGCAGAAGAAGCCCCGGCUAACUUCGUGCCAGCAGCCGCGGUAAUACGAAGGGGGCUAGCGUUGCUCGGAAUCACUGGGCGUAAAGCGCACAUAGGCGGAUCUUUAAGUCAGGGGUGAAAUCCCAAGGCUCAACCUUGGAACUGCCUUUGAUACUGGGGAUCUCGAGUCCGGAAGAGGUUGGUGGAACUCCGAGUGUAGAGGUGAAAUUCGUAGAUAUUCGGAAGAACACCAGUGGCGAAGGCGGCCAACUGGUCCGGCACUGACGCUGAGGUGCGAAAGCGUGGGGAGCAAAC